RNAcentral lists this transfer RNA (73 nucleotides) under Marmota monax (woodchuck). Its description in RNAcentral is "tRNA.Ala". The record is from RNAcentral. Lineage: Eukaryota; Metazoa; Chordata; Mammalia; Rodentia; Sciuridae.
GGGGUUGUGGCUCAGUGGUGGAGCUCUCUCUCCUGGCAUGUGUGAGGCACUGGGUUCAAUCCUCAGCACCACA